GUUGGCUCCAGACAAAUAAACAUGGAGUCCAUCUUCCACGAGAAACAAGAAGGCUCACUUUGUGCUCAACAUUGCCUGAAUAACUUAUUGCAAGGAGAAUAUUUUAGCCCUGUGGAAUUAUCCUCAAUUGCACAUCAGCUGGAUGAGGAGGAGAGGAUGAGAAUGGCAGAAGGAGGAGUUACUAGUGAAGAUUAUCGCACGUUUUUACAGCAGCCUUCUGGAAAUAUGGAUGACAGUGGUUUUUUCUCUAUUCAGGUUAUAAGCAAUGCCUUGAAAGUUUGGGGUUUAGAACUAAUCCUGUUCAACAGUCCAGAGUAUCAGAGGCUCAGGAUCGAUCCUAUGUAAGAUUUUGUUUUGCAUUUCAUACAUUUCUUUUCCCAAAUUUGAUUUUUAAAGUUGUAAUUUCUUAAAGAAGAGAAAUAUAUUUUGAAUACUUUUGUUUUGAUGUUCCCUGUUUCAUUCACUCAGACUUUCCUAUUUCACCUUUGUGAUGUCCAUGAGCAUCUGCCCUGUAGCCUUCCUGGCACCCCAGUGUCUGUGGCAGCUCAGAGCUGACCCAUAAGUGGUGCGUGAGGCCAUCUUUUGGCACGGCAUCACUAAGCUGCUGCAGAGAUGUUCAUAUGGUUGUGUGAUCUUUUAAAAACAUCAGUGACACUUAACUGUAAAUAUAAUCUUAAAUUAUCACAAAUUUUAUAUAAUAUUUGCCA
This 707-nucleotide small RNA is filed under the name Pongo abelii (Sumatran orangutan). RNAcentral's name for it is "retained intron". The record is from RNAcentral. Lineage: Eukaryota; Metazoa; Chordata; Mammalia; Primates; Hominidae.